This 622-nucleotide long non-coding RNA is filed under the name Oryza sativa (Asian cultivated rice). RNAcentral describes it as "long non-coding RNA (OSAT_LNC000270)". Lineage: Eukaryota; Viridiplantae; Streptophyta; Magnoliopsida; Poales; Poaceae. The record is from RNAcentral.
CCAUACGUAUUUGAGAGCAGACUGACCUUACUGAAUUGUUGAGGCAUUCCUUGGUGCUGAUAUGAUGAUUGAGGUGGUGUUUGGAUCCAGGGACUUAACUUUAGUCCCUGUUUUUAGACACUAAUUUAGAGUAUUAAAUAUAGACUACUUACAAAACUAAUUAUAUAAAUGAAAGCUAAUUCACGAGACAAAUUUUUUAAGCCUAAUUAAUCCACAAUUAGAGAAUGUUUACUGUAGCAUCACAUAGGCUAAUCAUGGAUUAGUUAGGCUCAAUAGAUUCGUCUCGCGAAUUAGUCCAAGAUUAUGGAUGAGUUUUAUUAAUAGUCUACGUUUAAUAUUUAUAAUUAAUAUUCAAACAUCCGAUGUGAUAGAGACUUAAAAGUUUUAGUCCCAUCUAAACAGGGCCUGAGGGAACUAUGAUCCAUUGGGAAUCGAACACGAAACCCCUUCCCUAUGAAUCCAAUGAUAUCAGUAUAACUUGCAUUUUGUAGCUGUGAGACUGAUAUAUGUUGAGUAUCAAAGGGAAUCAUGGACAAGUAUCGACAAGAAGGUUGAAGCUCUCCAAUUGUACAGCCAUAAAACUCGUUGAGAUAAACAAAAGAAUUGUUGGUAGGCAGGCAAG